CUGAAUAAAGCAUUGAUCGCAUGCAUCUCACUUACACCGAGAAGACGAGGGCUGUUCCUCUAUUUAGA
Molecule: transfer RNA, 68 nt
Filed under: Pisione sp. YZ-2018
Lineage: Eukaryota; Metazoa; Annelida; Polychaeta; Phyllodocida; Pisionidae
Description: tRNA-Val
Source: RNAcentral